This 1029-nucleotide long non-coding RNA is filed under the name Mus spicilegus (steppe mouse). RNAcentral's name for it is "lncRNA (ENSMSIG00000010862.1)". The record is from RNAcentral. Lineage: Eukaryota; Metazoa; Chordata; Mammalia; Rodentia; Muridae.
AAUACUACUAUUGUAAGUACUGCAGUAAAAAUUUACAGAAGUGUUUCUGUUAUCCGCCAAAGACAUGGAUAUGACAAUUCCAACUCUUAUUUGCCACCUCCAAGCUAUCCAAAGGUUCUGGUCCACACCACUGUCCUGUGGUCCCUACAGGGCUCCGGUUCCCUAACACCGAAGGCGCUCUGCACUGCUAGCCACGCUGCAAUCCUUUGCUUCAGGCACUGCGGCAGGUUCUCUCCAUGUCCCCAAAGGCAGUCUCUCCAAACCUCGGUGGUUCUUUUCCUCCCCCCUGCCUUCCCCCACAAGCCAAAUGACCCAGCAGUUAGCGCGCUCCGGGUACGGAAAAGGGGAUGUUUCUUCAGUCCCAAUCGCCCCCAAGUUUCUCGCCAGGGGCGCUGGAGGCUGGGCUCCAAGUUUGCUGGGCGGCAGCUGGGGGGCGCGGGCGGGGGGCGGGAGCCCCGAGUACGGGCGGGAGGGGGAGGAGCAGGCGCGCGGCCUCGCCGCUACCUGGCUCCUUCCAACGCGGCCGCUCGCGGGGUGCGCCGGGGGCUCCGAUGGGAACCGAGCGCGGGGGGCCCGGGACCACACAGGGGAAAAAAAGGAGAGAAAGAGAGAGAAGCAAGCAGAUGCGGCGCAAAGCGGGGCGCAGGACGGCAAGGGGCCGCUUCCAGCCUGAAGGAACUUUUCUUGGAAAGGUGGAGACCCCCGGAGGAGUGCGACUCCCCAAGGGCCCGAUGCCCUGGAGCGAAAAGGCGUUCGCGGGUCAGCCUUGCUGCCAGAAAAUUUAGCAAACUUCGGGCAGAUCCUCCCACCUGGGGCGAGAGCUCUGGCUGGCCUGGGGCUCAGCCCCGGGACCUUUCCUUUCACACUUUAAGAGCCUCAAGGCACUUUUUCCUUGGAAACCAGGCCAGCGCGAGGACAACUUCGCUGAGCUUGGUGCUAGGCUAGAGUCGGAGGCUUUUGAGUUUCCUUUUAAAACAGUAUUAAUGUAAUAAGGAACGCAAUAAAAAGAACAAAGGACAAAUUGGUUCA